Molecule: ribosomal RNA, 392 nt
Filed under: uncultured bacterium
Lineage: Bacteria
Description: partial 16S ribosomal RNA
Rfam family: Bacterial small subunit ribosomal RNA
Source: RNAcentral
AUACGGAGGAUCCGAGCGUUAUCCGGAUUUAUUGGGUUUAAAGGGUGCGCAGGCGGCCAUUUAAGUCAGCGGUUAAAUCGUGGGGCUCAACCCCAUUCUGCCGUUGAUACUGGGUGGCUUGAUUGCGGUCGAGGUUGGCGGAAUUCGUUGUGUAGCGGUGAAAUGCAUAGAUAUGACGAAGAACACCGAUUGCGUAGGCAGCUGACCAGACCGCAAAUGACGCUCAUGCACGAAAGUGCGGGGAUCGAACAGGAUUAGAUACCCUGGUAGUCCGCACAGUAAACGAUGAAUACUUGUUUUCGGCGAUAUAAUGUCGGAGGCAAAGCGAAAACGAUAAGUGUUCCCCCUGGGGAGUGCGCCGGCAACGGUGAGACUCAAAUGAAUUGACGGGG